GCCGCGUGAGUGAAGAAGGUUUUCGGAUCGUAAAGCUCUGUUGUUAAGGAAGAACGAGUGUGAGAAUGGAAAGUUCAUACUGUGACGGUACUUAACCAGAAAGGGACGGCUAACUACGUGCCAGCAGCCGCGGUAAUACGUAGGUCCCGAGCGUUGUCCGGAUUUAUUGGGUGUAAAGCGAGCGCAGGCGGUUAGAAAAGUCUGAAGUGAAAGGCAGUGGCUCAACCAUUGUAGGCUUUGGAAACUGUUUAACUUGAGUGCAGAAGGGGAGAGUGGAAUUCCAUGUGUAGCGGUGAAAUGCGUAGAUAUAUGGAGGAACACCGGUGGCGAAAGCGGCUCUCUGGUCUGUAACUGACGCUGAGGCUCGAAAGCGUGGGGAGCGAACAGGAUUAGAUACCCUGGUAGUCCACGCCGUAAACGAUGAGUGCUAGGUGUUAGGUCCUUUCCGGGACUUAGUGCCGCAGCUAACGCAUUAAGCACUCCGCCUGGGGAGUACGACCGCAAGGUUGAAACUCAAAGGAAUUGACGGGGGCCCGCACAAGCGGUGGAGCAUGUGGUUUAAUUCGAAGCAACGCGAAGAACCUUACCAGGUCUUGACAUCCCGAUGCUAUUUCUAGAGAUAGGAAGUUUCUUCG
Molecule: ribosomal RNA, 635 nt
Filed under: Streptococcus anginosus
Lineage: Bacteria; Bacillati; Bacillota; Bacilli; Lactobacillales; Streptococcaceae
Description: bacterial SSU rRNA
Rfam family: Bacterial small subunit ribosomal RNA
Source: RNAcentral